This 468-nucleotide ribosomal RNA is filed under the name uncultured bacterium. RNAcentral describes it as "partial 16S ribosomal RNA". It matches the Rfam family "Bacterial small subunit ribosomal RNA", at positions 28 to 507 of the family's 1533-position model. The record is from RNAcentral.
GACGAACGCUGGCGGCGUGCUUAACACAUGCAAGUCGAACGGAAAGGCCCUGCAUUUGUGGGGUGCUCGAGUGGCGAACGGGUGAGUAACACGUGAGUAACCUGCCCUUGACUUUGGGAUAACUUCAGGAAACUGGGGCUAAUACCGGAUAGGAGCUCCUGCUGCAUGGUGGGGGUUGGAAAGUUUCGGCGGUUGGGGAUGGACUCGCGGCUUAUCAGCUUGUUGGUGGGGUAGUGGCUUACCAAGGCUUUGACGGGUAGCCGGCCUGAGAGGGUGACCGGCCACAUUGGGACUGAGAUACGGCCCAGACUCCUACGGGAGGCAGCAGUGGGGAAUAUUGCACAAUGGGCGGAAGCCGUAUGCAGCAACGCCGCGUGCGAGAUGACGGCCGUCGGGUUGGAAACCGCUUUCGCCUGUGACGAAGCGUGAGUGACGGUAAUGGGUAAAGAAGCACCGGCUAACUACGUG